GUCUACGACCACACCACCAGUAAAAAACCGGUUCUCGUCUGAUCACCGAAGUUAAGCCUGGUCGGGCGAAGUUAGUACUUGGAUGGGUGACCGCCUGGGAAUACUUCGUGUUGUAGACU
Ribosomal RNA from Dendronephthya gigantea, 119 nucleotides. Lineage: Eukaryota; Metazoa; Cnidaria; Anthozoa; Malacalcyonacea; Nephtheidae. The record is from RefSeq and is a predicted model, not a curated record.